GACGAACGCUGGCGGCGCGCUUAACACAUGCAAGUCGAACGGCGAGGGGGAGCUUUCUUUUUCUAGCCGAGUGGCGACCGGGUGAGUAACCCGUGAGGAACCUGCCCAAAAGGGGGGGACAACGUUGGGAAACGAUGGCUAAUACCGAAUAGGCCCACGGGCUGCAUUGAACCGGGGGGAAAGGAGCAAAUCGCCUUGAGAUGGCCUCGCCUCCGAUUAGCGAGUUGGUGAGGUAACCGCCCCACAAGGUAACGAUCGGGAGCCGGACGGAGGGGUUGAACGGCCACAUUGGGACUGAGGCACGGCCCAGACUCCUACGGGAGGCAGCAGUGGGGAAUAUUGCACAAGGGGGGAAACCCUGAUGCAGCGACGCCGCGUGGAGGAAGAAGGUCUUCGGAUUGUAAACUCCUGUUGUUGAGGAAGAUAAUGACGGUACUCAACAAGGAAGUGACGGCUAACUACGUG
This 465-nucleotide ribosomal RNA is filed under the name uncultured bacterium. Its description in RNAcentral is "partial 16S ribosomal RNA". It matches the Rfam family "Bacterial small subunit ribosomal RNA", at positions 28 to 507 of the family's 1533-position model. The record is from RNAcentral.